AGUAUCUGCUGUGUGCGCGGCGCGUCAUGCAUGCGUCUAUCUUGCUCGCAUAAUAAACAGCUCAUUGUUGGCAUGUGAUGGUGCAUAAGAAAUGGAAGCUAGCGGCUGACAGACUAGCUAUAUAGAGACUGCAUUCUCUGUGUGCGACACACAGUGCUGCUUGGUCGCUACACUGAGAGGGUACAUAAUAUCACACCGUGAGGAGGUCAAUAGAGCAUGAAUGCAUAUCUCUCUCUACUGAAGGAUGAUUAUGAAAACGCCAUGAUCGAGAACAAAGUUAUCUGAUGAUUAUGAAAGACCAUCGGCUGAGGCAUUACUCUGCAAGAUUAGUGAUGAUCGCUCUUGAUUCGGCGAAGUCGUCAUCGUAAGCCUGAAUGAAUGCUAAAAGAGGUGAUCAUCAUGUUAGGAUCACGGCUAUGUUACAGCGGCAAGGCUUGUACUCUAUCUUGUACAUCACCACCGCCACUCUUACCAUCCAUACCACCCAAAUGGGCGUGUCAUCUCCCUGAACCAUUUCCUACAUGGAUAAUAAUCUUGAUUGUCUGUAUGUCCGUAUGCUUACUAGGAUCGUUCAUGACAUACAUGGUAUACAGCAGGCGGGUGGGGAAGAAGAAACAGCAGCAGAUUGGCGACCAGGAUUGUGAGCUGCGAUCUAAGAAUGGAAGUACAGCAUCUACCCGUAACCUUGUUCCCGGCAACACAUCAUAAGCAAACAAGCAAAGUGAAAAGAACAAAGUUCCUCGUCCAAUCAUAAUUAUCAACGUUAUGGAGUACUUCUUGUUUUAUGAGAAGUGAGAGGGAGAAAGAAAGACUCUCGUGUGAAUGACUUCAUGUGCUUUGAGGGAGCAACGAUGACGUCACAGAAGUAGACCUAAUAAAGAGCGUAGUUACCAGCCGACAAAUUAAAGAAUUCAGUUGGAGAAUAGAAUCGUUUUAGUAAAAACGAUUGCAACUGCUUUAUUUAAACGACUGUGUGUAUCUUUACCAGUACCACUGAAGUGCAAUACGAAUUCAUGCAAGUACAUCAUGCAUAUAGGGACUGACAUAGGAUGUAAUUUCAGCCUCUACUCAACCACCAUGUUUACACUACCGAUUUGUGUAUUCGGUACUCGAGUAGAAAUCUAUCCAUUCAGUUUUAACAAUGCAUGAGCAAACUAAAAGCGUCAUCGAAUGCAUAACAUGUGAAUAUGAACAAAAUGUGACUAUAGGCAUCAUUAGGAAGCGUAUUAUCAAGAUUACAUGUAGGAAAAUUAAGAAUGUGCUUCAAAAAUUGGGACGGGUGAUAUAAUGCUGUCACCUGAAAUUACGUUUAGAAACGAUUAAUACAUAACUUGCCAUUCUCGGUUAAUAACUUAAAUGCACGAGUUGGGUUCUGACUACACCUCUUAUGAGAUGGAGUGAUUAUAACGGGUCGUAUAAUAUACAGCAGACCUGUGCAAGGCCCGAGUUACAGGUUACCAACAUGUGUAAACGACUCCGUGACUCCCUAACAGUGAUUGGAACAUACUCGUGUAUAGACGCAGAUUAAACGUGAUUAGCAAGUUCACAAUCCUUGGCAGCAUAAUCCCCCCCCCCCCCCUGCCAAAUGCAGAGUGUGUUUGAUUUGGAAUAGGACGGCACUCGGGGGCGGUGAUUUCUUUUCAUGACUGGGGGUUGGGACGAAAUGCGAGAUUUUCAACAAUAUUUAGUUGUACAUUUUGAAGGAUAUUAUGCAAGGGAGCGUAGCGACCAAGCGAGCAGAUGUUUGCAUUUUAUUAGUCUAAACCCUGCUCUCUUUGGCCGUCCAGAGCCUGAAAGCGUGUUGCGGUCUUUGAUGUCCCUUUUUUUUUGGUGGGGGGGGGGGGGCACUUUUUCAAAU
Strongylocentrotus purpuratus (purple sea urchin) is the source of this 1858-nucleotide long non-coding RNA. RefSeq lists it as uncharacterized. The record is from RefSeq and is a predicted model, not a curated record. Lineage: Eukaryota; Metazoa; Echinodermata; Echinoidea; Camarodonta; Strongylocentrotidae. The transcript has 4 exons.